CCUACGGGUGGCAGCAGUGAGGAAUCUUGGUCAAUGGACGAGAGUCUGAACCAGCCAAGUAGCGUGAAGGAUGACUGCCCUCUGGGUUGUAAACUUCUUUUAUAUGGGAAUAAGACAGGGUAUGCAUACCCUCUUGUAUCUACCAUAUGUAUACGGAUCGGCUAACUCCGUGCCAGCAGCCGCGGUACUACGGAGGAUCCGAGCGUUAUCCGGAUUUGUUGGGUUUAAAGGGAGCGUAGGUGGAUUGUUAAGUCAGUUGUGAAAGUUUACGGCUCAACCGUAAAAUUGCAGUUGAAACUGGCAGUCUUGAGUACAGUAGAGGUGGGCGGAACUCGUGGUGUAGCGGUGAAAUGCUUAGAUAUCACGAAGAACACCGAUUGCGAAGGCAGUUCACUGGACUGCAACUGACACUGAGGCUCGAAAGUGUGGGUAUCAAACAGGAUUAGAUACCCCUGUAGUC
This 460-nucleotide ribosomal RNA is filed under the name uncultured bacterium. RNAcentral describes it as "partial 16S ribosomal RNA". It matches the Rfam family "Bacterial small subunit ribosomal RNA", at positions 338 to 795 of the family's 1533-position model. The record is from RNAcentral.